UGAAAACAAGACUUUUACUGAAAGAAAAGAAGAAGCUUCUAAAUGUAAGGAGAAUGGAAAUAGAGCUUAUACACAAAACAACUUUAAAGAAGCGGUUUUAUGGUAUAGCAGAGGCCUUCUUUUAACUCCUUUUUGCUUUUAUUUUCUUUCUAAUAGAAGUUUGACUUUUCUGAAGCUAAACGAAUAUGAAAUGGCGUAUUCUGAUGCGUCGCGUUGUAUUCAGUUGGCGCCUACUUGGCCUAAAGGCUACUUUCGUCAAGGAAUCGCGCUUCAAAAAUUAAAUCUUCCACGUGAUGCGGCCGUCGCCUUUUUACAAGGGCUUCAACACGAUCCAGAGAAUUAUACGCUUUAUAUUGCUCUAAAAGGAACUUUCGAUCCUGAAGAUUUCGAAAACUUUUAUAGAA
Molecule: long non-coding RNA, 404 nt
Organism: Zophobas morio
Lineage: Eukaryota; Metazoa; Arthropoda; Insecta; Coleoptera; Tenebrionidae
Exons: 6
Source: RefSeq, a predicted model, not a curated record